UCACUAAAUUCCUCCGACUGUCACAGAGAGUAACGAAACAAAAAUAUAGAGAUAGUCACUGGCAACAAACCCAAGAUCUAAGAAGUUGGAAAUAAUUUUCAAAUCCAUUUCUUCAUAGGUCUUGUUGGUAAUGGCACUAACUCCUAAGAAAAAGAAAAAUGUUCAACCAUUACCAUUAGAAUCAUCUGAUCCACCUCCUCCUACUACUACUAGUUCUUCACCACCUGCUGAUAAGGGUAAGCGCACAAAGUGUCCUGGAGUUCGUAAAGUUGGGCGCAAAAUCUAUGAUUCUGAGAAUGGAACUACUUGCCAUCAGUGCCGGCAAAAAACCAUGGAGUUAGUAGCUGCAUGCAAGAACGAUAGUAAACCCUGUACGAGCGCCAAGAAAAAAAAUGAACCUUGUAAUUUAAAAUUCUGUCACAAGUGCCUCACAAAUAGGUAUGGAGAAAAAGCAGAAGAGGUGAAAUUACUGGAUGGAUGGCACUGUCCCAAAUGUAGAGGGAUUUGUAAUUGUAGUUUUUGUAGGAAAAAGAGAGGAGACGAACCUACUGGUAUCUUAAUUCAUAGAGCCAAAGCAACGGGAUAUGAAUCCGUAUCACAACUACUGACUCUCAGAGGCCCUGAGUGUCUGGUUUCCUUAAAGAAAAAACAUUCUUCUUCUACCAAGGAAGUAUCAAAGAGUAAAUGUGGGAAGGAGAAUUCUCAAGAUGGAAAUAUUAUUCCAGAUUUGAAUGAGAAGCCGUUAGAAUCGGAAAAUUAUGAGAUUACAAUUCAGAGAAGCAAUUGUAAAAUACCUGGAGAUACUGACCAGAAUAGUAAUUCCGGAGGUAAUAUUGUAAGUUCUCCAAAGAGAAACAAUAGUGAGAGCAUGCAUGAGGGUGACAUUAGCCCUGAAACAAAGAAGUCUAAGAAAUCCCGAGUAUCGAAGGGUGACGACGAGAAGACGGGUGAAACAAAUGCUGAUGAAUUCAAUGAUUCAGUAGUCAACCAUCCAUUACCUCAAGGUGUUGAGCUAAUAAAUAUAGUUGGCAUUGCCCUACCCCCCGAAGAUGCUGGACAUGCUCUUCAAUUCCUAGAAUUCUGCAAUGCUUUUGAACAGGUUUUAGAUUUGAAGAAAGGACUGCCUGAAUCUAUUCUUCAAGAACUGGUAACAACUGGGUGUAGCAGUAGGAUCCCAGGACAGUGCUCUUUGGUCAUUCAGAUGCAUAUCCAAUUGCUUUCUUUGAUACAAAAGGACACGGGAGAAGAAUCUACGUGUCCUUCAAGUGAACAUAAUUCGUGGCUGCAAGCUUUGGACAAAUGUGUUGCAGAGUCUAACUAUGCUUUUAAGGAAACAAAUUGCUUUCAAAAGGAUGUGGAUGUAUAUAACAAGCUAGAAGUCUCGCAAAAGUUGAGACUUUUGAACUUCUUAUGUGAUGAGACCCUUGGAACUUCAGCCAUGAGAAGAUGGAUCGACGAUGAAAAGGAUAGAUGUUCUGAAAGAGUGAGGAAGGCCAGAGAAAAGGUUGAUGCUGCAAAACAAAAGGAAGACAAACUGAUUCUGAAGAUGCGUGAGGAGGUUGCGAAUGUUAUUGCCGAAAGUGGUGAUUCUGUGUCUAUUUCUGAGCACGAGGAACGUAUUUCAAAGAUUCAAGCUGAAGCAGCAAAUGCUCAUGCGGAGAAACUAGAAGCAACACGCAUGGUGCCUAAGAAAAACCAAAGAUCACAUGCGUAUAGAACGGAACCUAUUCUUUCGGAAGGAAAUGGUCAUACAUUUUGGAGUCUCAAAGGCCAUUCAUCUGGAUCGUCAAUCAUGCUUCAAGAUGUUGGAAGCUGGGAUUCUGAUACACCUGGAGAUAAGUGGUUCUCGUAUGAUUGUGAGCAGCAAACGGCAGUUGAGGAUUACAUCUCUUCCGUAAGAAAGAGAAGACUUAGGCUGCAACAUGAAGAUGCCAACAGGGAUGAGUAACAUAACAAAAAAUCUUUAGAUAAGCAACCUUCAUAAUUAUUCUGGAGUAAGGCAUGUGGGAGGUUAGACAAGGAAAGGAAGGAAAGAAAUCUCUGUAGUGUCUUUGCUGGAGAUUUAAUAAAUAUUGUUAUACAUGUACACAAUAUAAUGUAUGUAAGCUGUUCAAAUAGGAGUAUAGGAGAGAUGGUUCGUGAUCUUACAAAUGUUACAUACAUACUGUUACUAGGCAAAUAGAUUUUAAUUUCCUUUAGACAUAAUGUUACUAGGCAAUUUGAUUUGAAUUUCCUGAGACAUGUUCACAGAUGUUUUUUUAGUUUUAUUCCUCCGCAAAUUAUGGGGUAAUUUUCUCUUAAUUUUAUUCUAAUUAGUAUUUGGUUUUAUAGCAAGGAAAAGUAUUUGGGUUGAUUCUAGUUACUAUUUGGUUUUAUAGCAAAGAAAAGUAGGAGUAUUUGUACUGCAUUUCAAUUUUAAGAUAUGAACUUUACAGUUGACAUCCUCGUAUCUCACAAGAUAGGACUUUGUAGCCCAAGUUUGCUGACCAGUGUUUACCUGAUUAGGGAACCUAUUAGCAGCAAGUAUUUACUUCUUUCUUUUCUAGGUAACCUUUUUUUCUUUUUUUUUUGACAGGAAAGACAAAUUUCAUCAAGACCUGAAC
Papaver somniferum (opium poppy) is the source of this 2603-nucleotide RNA transcript. RefSeq lists it as uncharacterized. Lineage: Eukaryota; Viridiplantae; Streptophyta; Magnoliopsida; Ranunculales; Papaveraceae. The record is from RefSeq and is a predicted model, not a curated record. The transcript is spliced from 13 exons.